CUUACAUUCUAUCUCCCCACAGGUCAGGGCUGCAGUGGCAUAGGUAUCUCACUUGUCUGAAAGGAAUAAACAAAGCUGAAUGAAGUCCCUGUUGCUUCCCCUUGCUAUGACAAGUACAAGGAGCAAAAAUUACUAGGACCACUGCUCCAACAAAGCCUGUUGAUAGGAGCACUUCAAAAAGAAGUUUAUUUCUUUAAGAAGCAUAAAGAGCUGACCUACAGUUAAGGUCUCGUCCAUUUUCAAAGCCAUAGUCCAUGUAUGAGGACACACCACAGAUCCCAAUAGGAGAACUGCACAAGGGAAAGAAGAGAGCAUGCAGUGCAACACAUCCAAGUGGAGAUCUCUAGCUAUGCUGACAGUGGACUGCCCUUCCUCCCUCCAUCAAUCUCCUCUUUGGUCUUACUCUCAGUGCUCUCUCCCAGUCACUGCACAGAGUUAGCCAAUACACAUUCGUUAUAUUAGCACUGCUCUUCCCAGAAUGGGGCAAAACCCUAAAACAGGCAAUUCUUUGAUCUUCAUCUCCCCAAGUUCUGCCCAGGCUGCUUCAGCAGCAUGUAAUGAGCUCCUAUCCUGUGCAAUGAGUAGUCAUGACAAAACCCCAAAAUUACACAGAUAAAUCAUUGUCUCCUCUCAUGAUACCAAGAACAGUAAUUAUUCUGCCAAAUUAACCUGCCUCCAAAUCAAGCCUUUGGUCUUGCACUCCAGGAAGUUUUAAGAGUAGGAAUUUGAAGUACUCUUAGUACUCAGAUGAGAUCAGAAGCAGGAGUGGAAAGCUAUAAUGGAGAGCUAUAUGCCCCUCCCCUGCCCCUGUGUAAGUCAGGCUGACAGCUCCAGAGCUGGUGGUUAAGUUGUCACACCAGCAUUCCAGGGAUCUGUGAAACCUGAACACACAGCACCCUAAGCUUGUCAUUAUGUACCAAAAAGAAACAUUGCCAUGCUAAGCUAAUAGAUUAUCACGUCUUCUUUAACCAUGUGACCGAAGAUCAUCCUGGACACUAUAAAUUGCUGCAUAAUUUCAGCUCUGAAGAAAAAUCUGAAGAGUUUUAAAUACCAUUUUUACUGGCUAUGACCCCCCCCCCGCCACAUUCCACCUUGUAUAUUUCUCUAGGAAACAUGAGCAUCACAGUGCCCAAGUCCCAUCUCUUUCUGGUCCCUUGCAUUCACUGCCUUGCACCACCCUGUUGUAGGAGAAACAUGAUCCAAGGUGAA
Molecule: long non-coding RNA, 1209 nt
Organism: Zonotrichia leucophrys gambelii
Lineage: Eukaryota; Metazoa; Chordata; Aves; Passeriformes; Passerellidae
Exons: 3
Source: RefSeq, a predicted model, not a curated record